RNAcentral lists this transfer RNA (55 nucleotides) under Flavobacteriaceae bacterium. RNAcentral describes it as "tRNA-Lys". It matches the Rfam family "tRNA", at positions 8 to 60 of the family's 71-position model. From Rfam's summary of the family: Transfer RNA (tRNA) molecules are approximately 80 nucleotides in length. The record is from RNAcentral. Lineage: Bacteria; Pseudomonadati; Bacteroidota; Flavobacteriia; Flavobacteriales; Flavobacteriaceae.
UAGCUCAGUUGGUAGAGCAUCUCCCUUUUAAGGAGAGGGUCCUGGGUUCGAGCCC